Molecule: ribosomal RNA, 459 nt
Filed under: uncultured bacterium
Lineage: Bacteria
Description: bacterial SSU rRNA
Rfam family: Bacterial small subunit ribosomal RNA
Source: RNAcentral
CGCGAAUUCGCCCUUAGAGUUUGUUUCUGGCUCAGGAUGAACGCUGGCGGCGUGCCUAACACAUGCAAGUCGAACGGACUCGGAUUGAAACCUAGUGAUUUCCGAGUUAGUGGCGGACGGGUGAGUAACGCGUGGAUAACCUGCCGUAUGCAGGGGGAUAACAGUUGGAAACAGCUGCUAAUACCGCAUAAGCGCACAGUACCGCAUGGUACGGUGUGAAAAGAUUUAUCGGCAUACGAUGGAUCCGCGUCCGAUUAGCCAGUUGGCGGGGUAACGGCCCACCAAAGCGACGAUCGGUAGCCGGCCUGAGAGGGCGGACGGCCACAUUGGGACUGAGACACGGCCCAAACUCCUACGGGAGGCAGCAAUGGGGAAUAUUGCACAAUGGGGGAAACCCUGAUGCAGCGACGCCGCGUGAGUGAAGAACUAUCUCGGUAUGUAAAGCUCUAUCAACAGGGA